CUAGACUCAAUAAAACAUGUAGAAAAUAAAUGACGUCAUGACUGGGCUGCUGAGGGUCAUAUCAAUAUUUAAUUAAAAAAAUGAGUUGAAUGUUUUCAGUAAGAACAGGAAGCAGCCGGAGCUGCAGGUGUCAUUAUGCUGAUCCUCCGGACCGGACCGGACCGGACCGGCUGCCAUCCUCAGCCGCUGCCUUUGAAUUUCCAGAUUUGAUUGAGGCGCCGCGACUCAUUUCUAAAUUACUGCAGCUGCAUGUCCUCGGCGGGACCCGGACCCAGCGGUCCGUGAAGCCAGCAGGCUGAUUGAACCGGAGCAGAGAGCAGGAGGCGGCGACCCAAUCACCGACAGAACCGACCCAGAGCCUGACCCGGUCCGGGUCGUUCAUCCAGAAACAACGGUGGCCGAGCCGGCCCACAGAGGACCGAGCAAUUUAAAGCCCAGCAGCUGGAAGCCGUCCAUCAGCGGCGCUGCAGUCCGGUCGGCCUGCAGCUGUUCUUCACGGUGACCCCGGUGACCCCGGACAGGAUGGAGCGGCAGAGAAAUGGAGGAAUAAAUAUUGAGUGAAGGAUCAGAACUGCAGCAGAUGCUCCGAACGCCGGAGGGAAAAACGGCGACAGGAAAAGACGCCUGAAGGCAGCUGGUGGUUCAACGACACCUGAACAGUUUUCAAAAAUGUUUUUUCUGUUCAGGAUUUAUUACACAAAGUAUCACAAUACUAUAUUCUGAACUUUUCAAAUUCUGCAUCU
This is a long non-coding RNA of Poecilia latipinna (sailfin molly), 743 nucleotides long. RefSeq lists it as uncharacterized. The record is from RefSeq and is a predicted model, not a curated record. NCBI's taxonomy places the organism in Eukaryota, Metazoa, Chordata, Actinopteri, Cyprinodontiformes, Poeciliidae. The transcript is spliced from 3 exons.